RNAcentral lists this ribosomal RNA (253 nucleotides) under uncultured bacterium. RNAcentral's name for it is "partial 16S ribosomal RNA". It matches the Rfam family "Bacterial small subunit ribosomal RNA", at positions 524 to 776 of the family's 1533-position model. The record is from RNAcentral. RNAcentral also lists the same sequence under 1 other name.
GACAGAGGUGCCGAGCGUUAGGCGGAAUCACUGGGCUUAAAGCGCGUGUAGGCGGGUCCGUAAGUGCCUUGUGAAAUCCCACGGCUCAACCGUGGAACUGCUGGGCAUACUGCGGGUCUUGGGCCAUCUAGGGGCGAGCGGAACAAGCGGUGGAGCGGUGAAAUGCGUAGAUAUCGCUUGGAACGCCAAUGGUGAAAACAGCUCGCUGGGGAUGUGCCGACGCUGAGACGCGAAAGCCAGGGGAGCGAACGGG